Non-coding RNA from Xyrichtys novacula (pearly razorfish), 4735 nucleotides. The record is from the annotation of a GenBank genome assembly. Lineage: Eukaryota; Metazoa; Chordata; Actinopteri; Labriformes; Labridae.
UGGGCUUUGACUCUGGGAAGUUUCUCUGGGGAGUUUCAGUGUCCCAUGACCCAACUUAAUGCUUUUUCAAAGUCUUUUCCACUUGGAGCGAGGAAACAUCUCGAGGAGACACAGAACCAUCUCUUUAUUUUCCCUCUAUAUUUUUACACAUUAUACAUGCUAACAACAUGGCUUUAGGGAUGACAGUGUUGGCUCAUUACUUAGAUCUAUGCCUAAAUAUCUCAACAGCUAUUUGAUCAUUGGCAGAAAAAUACAUGUACUAGUAUAUACAGUCCCAAAAGGAUGCAGAGUAACAGAUACAUUAAGCAGAUGCUUUUGCCCAAAGCAACCAGGGGUGUGGUGGGUGAGGAUACCAAGAUAUGCUGGCUGAUUGGUACAUGUAUACAUUACAAUAUUUUGCAUUUUAUUAGAAUUAAAUUGGAACAAGAAACUAUAGGAUACAGCUGAUGUUGCAUUCCUUGUGGCGAUAGAGCAAACUAAUCCUUACUGGUCAAUAACAACCUAUAUCAGGGGACCCCGUCUAAGACCGUGCCUCCAAGUUUAGGAAGCCUGCAUUGGCCCAUUUCUAUAGAACAUUCAAAUGCAUUGACAACACAGCUGGUACUGCAUACAGCCUGAUUUCCUGUACUCUACAAUGAAGUCAGUGCUUGGUGGCUUUUAUGUGCUGAGGACUACAAAGAGUGAUUUAUGCCAACAGAAAAAAGCCUAUUCCAUAUUGAGCACCUUUCAGCAGCCUCUUUAAAACACUUUGGCCCUGUUAAACCAUGCAGUACCUGACCGCCCUGCUCAAACUGUUUAUUUGACUUGCUGCUGAGAGCACUGCUGUGUGUGUGUGUGUGUGUGUGUGUGUGUGUGUGUGUGUGUGUGUGUGUCUGUGUGCAGGGUGGCAAGAUGUGUGUAGAUGUGUCCAUGAACAUCGACUUGUAUAUAUGUUUGUAAAGUACAUGUGAAUUCAGUCAAAUGUGUGUGUGUGUGUGUGUGUUCACUGUGGCGUUAGGCCUUUGCUUCCUUCCUUCCUGUUCAAGCAGACCUGGUCCCUCUACCCACCAACGCUUCUCUCCUCUGGGAUGGCAGUUUUAGUGCGUGCGUUCGCCCGCGCGUGCGUAUGUGUGUGUUUGUGUGUGUACGUGAGCUUGACACUUGACUGAGCAGGGUGGUCCUACAGGGACUUGUCUAUGGGUCUAGUUCCUGAUUCUCAGAAACGCACACACCUGCACCAUCUCGCUAGCCAAGCGCCCCAAAUAUAACCUAGAGCAUGUGAUACACUCAGACUGACCCGCUCUUUGUUUUGCACCUGCCCUUCUUUGUUGACUUUCCUUUUUUCAUCCUUGUUGGUUUACCAGAACAUUUUCUCUCUUCUUAAUUAAUAAAUAAUGAAGUUACCUCCUUCUGUCAUGCAUCCAAAAUAACAAAGAAGAUGUACACACUUUCUCUUUCUGGCUUUUAUCUUAGACACACUUAAACACUAAGUUGUGAAUUGGGUUAGUGUAGGAGCACAGGAAGGUUUGAAUAUUGCAUCAUUGGGAUGCAGAGCAGCGGUGUUUGGGGUCAGAGCGCUAUCAUGUUGCCAAUCAGCAAGGCAGCUCAGAGCCCUCAUCAGCUUUUGAUUGCAUUUAGAAUGGCUAAUUAAAUAAAAUAUGACAUUAUGUAAAUGUCUGUGUCUCUGCCAUAUGGCCCCAGGCACUGUCCCCCACCCCCGCCCCGUCCGCCUCCAGCACACCAGGGGCAACGAAGUGAGAGCUCUAAAUGUGUGUGUGUGUGUGUGUGUGAGAGAGAGAGAACCAGAGCCAUUGCAUGUCCGAGACUGAACAAAGCGAUGGUCACAAAAACCUCUUUUCUCAAGGCAUGCCUCAGUUCCUUCAAUUUGCAUCCAUGCAUCCCACAUUUAGGUAUUUUCUUUGCAUCUCAGUCCCUCCCCCUAGAGAUGCAAGAGAGGGAAGGCCAGGAUGAGGAUAUAAGUACAUAUGUUAUAAGAGACAUGAGAUGUCACUGCUGAUCAGUUUUAACAGCUGUUUGUGUCUGCACACACUCUCAUAACUAUCUAAAUAAAAUACACAGAGUGAAAUGAUUUUGUCUUUGUGUGUCAACAGUUAUUCAUUCUACAUCCUGCUUGGCACCAUACAGACAAUCUGACAGGUAAAAUACAUAAAUUUUAAAUAAAUAAACUUUUAAUUAUCUAUCAUUAUAAUUGAAUCUGAUUGUUUACCUUUUCCUUGUUAACAAAGAUGAGCUGUUUUAUGAUGUCUCAGGAACACUCAAAAUGAUCCAUUAAGUCUAAAGUUUUAGGGACUUAAGUCACUUUAAAAUAGUCAGCCCCAUACACUGCAGACAACAGCUGAGAGGACAAUGAAUUUAAACAACAGGCUGUCUCAUCAGACUGGUUUUUAGAUACUUAAUACUGUGCUGAAAAUAAAUAAACAGUAGUUCCACAAGUUCAUGGUAGUGGUCUUCAACAGGUUGGCGCUAGCAUAAAAGGGGGAGGAGACAAACGACCACUGAUCUACAGGAAGCAGCAUAUAUUUCAAAAUAAAAGCAUGGUGUUUACCUUAUCACAGGAAAUAAAGAAACUUAAACACAAAACAGAGAAAUAAAUAAAUAAAACACGAAAAGCAAUAGUUUAUGAUGCAAUGCCCUCUUUAAAGAAGUUUCAUUCACAGGGCCUGUGGUGUAAAUAAAUUUUUCACAUCAUUAGUAGUCAGGUGCAAAUAUGACUUGACCCCCCAAAAAUUCAACAAAAGGUUAGGGUUAGGAUUAGGGUUAAAAUCGCCGUCCAGGAACUUUUUAAGAGCACAUUUCAGACCAUUUGGAGUCAACUGGUACAAAAAAAUGGGAAUAAUGUCAAAGUUUUUUCAAGUGUUAGGGUUAAGUUGGGGUAACAUUGGGGUAGCGGGGUUAGGGUUAGGGUCAAAAUCACUAUCCAGGACCUUUUUCAGGAAAAUGUUUCUGACCAUUUUGAGUCGAUUGGUACAAAACAAAAACAUUAGGAAAAUUGUCAAGAAAAAAUUUCAAGUGUUACGGUUACGAUAAAAUUGAGGUUUUGGGGUUAGGGUUAUGGGGUUAGGGUUAAAAUCACUGUCCAGGACCCAAUUAGGCGCACAUUUCAGACCAUUUGGAGUCAAUUGGUAUAAAAAAAAAAUAGGAAAAAUUUCAAAAAAAUUUACGGUGUUAGGGUUAUGUUUGGGAAACAUUGGGGUGUUGGGGUUAGGGUGAGGAUUAGGGUUAUGAGGUUAGGGUUAUAAUCACUGUCUGGGACCUUCAAAGGAGCACGUUUCAGACCAUUUGGAGUCAAUUGGUACAAAAAAAAUUAAAAAAAAAUGUCAAAAGAAAUUUAAGUGUUAGGGUCAUGUUUGGGUAACGUUAGGUAACAUUGUAGUAUUGGGUUAAGGAGGUUUUCCCUAAUUCUUUUUGUACCAAUGGACUCCAACUGGUCAAAAAAUGAACUCCUAAAAAGGUCCUGGACAGUGAUUAUAACCCUUACCCCAACCCUAAUACCCCAACGUGACCCCAACGUAACCCUUACACUUGAAAUAAUUGUGACAUUUUUUCCCAUUUUUUUUUGUACCAAUUGACUCCAAAUGGUCUGAAAUGUGCUCUUAUAAAGGUCCUGGACAGUGAUUUAGACAUUGCCAGUUCUGUCCCGCGGCCCUGUCCUCAUCCUACUCUAUUCUCAGACCUACUCUUCCCUACUCAAUCCAUAGACCUAUCUUAAAAUAAAAGCUUUUAAAACCCCUAACCUAACGAAUUGCAGAACUACCCUCUCAAAUUUAUAAACCCCAAGUAUUAAAAGUAGCUUGACAAGCAUGGUUUUACCUUUGAAGAGGAGGGUAUGUUGUGUCUCAUUUGUUAGCUUGUUUGUUUGUAGGAUGUCUAUUAUUAAAAAAACAAACAGUUGAAUCUGAUCAUAAUGUUUCUCACUGUGGAAAUACCGAAGACUUCAGAUUUACUGGCAAAGGCUUUGAAAAACAUUUUGUGCCUCCAGCAAAGUUUGACAGAGGUGGAUGGAAUUUCGUCCAACAUACUUAAAACAUUUCACAAGUUUGUUGUGUUGUGGAGUGUAUACACAUGUGUCUUUCCCCAAAUAAUGUCCCAGUUAUUAUGGGUAAUCAGAGCCCCACUGUAAACAAUUUUCACUGCAAUUUGAAUAUAAAGAGGAAUAAAUGUUGGGGCGUGCUGUUAAAGAUCCACAUUAUCUGAAAGUAUUGGAAAGCAAAGUGUUUGUAGUUAGGUUCACCACACUCAGAUAGACAGACCGCAGUUGGCCGUCUUAGAGAAGGGCAAGAAACAAUGAUCAUUUCAAUAUGGAGAUCGAAGAUAAUGAAGGGAAACUGAGAUUUGAACUUGAAAUAGUUGCUGGUUUAUCCCUGUACUUAUAUGUAGGACACCUUUUCACUUUUUCCUAUCUUGGUGAAAGUGUUGCAGGGAAACCACUUCUUUCUGGCCAUAGAAAUGAACAGUAUUUGAUAUGUGCCCAUUUUAUCCCUGUAGCUGUAUCUACUAAAGUGAAGGCCAGCUAACCAUUUCAGUCAAGGCCUCAUCUUCAGUCUCUCUCCUAGCUCAUUGUCAGAGCAGGAUGGUCAUUUCCUUGAUAGUACCCAGGUUUUUACCGCUGACUUUGCUUAGGUAGGGUACACUAUAUAUCUGUGUGUGUUGUGUGUGUGUGUGUGUGUGUGUGUGUGUGUGUGUGUGUGUGUGUGUGUGUGUGUGUGUGUGUGUGUGUGUGUGUGUGUGUGCGUGU